GACGAACGCUGGCGGCGUGCUUAACACAUGCAAGUCGAACGGAAAGGCCCUGCUUUUGUGGGGUGCUCGAGUGGCGAACGGGUGAGUAACACGUGAGUAACCUGCCCUUGACUUUGGGAUAACUUCAGGAAACUGGGGCUAAUACCGGAUAGGAGCUCCUGCUGCAUGGUGGGGGUUGGAAAGUUUCGGCGGUUGGGGAUGGACUCGCGGCUUAUCAGCUUGUUGGUGGGGUAGUGGCUUACCAAGGCUUUGACGGGUAGCCGGCCUGAGAGGGUGACCGGCCACAUUGGGACUGCGAUACGGCCCAGACUGCUACGGGAGGCAGCAGUGGGGAAUAUUGCACAAUGGGCGGAAGCCUGAUGCAGCAACGCCGCGUGUGGGAUGACGGCCUUCGGGUUGUAAACCGCUUUCGCCUGUGACGAAGCGUGAGUGACGGUAAUGGGUAAAGAAGCACCGGCUAACUACGUG
This 468-nucleotide ribosomal RNA is filed under the name uncultured bacterium. RNAcentral's name for it is "partial 16S ribosomal RNA". It matches the Rfam family "Bacterial small subunit ribosomal RNA", at positions 28 to 507 of the family's 1533-position model. The record is from RNAcentral.